RNAcentral lists this ribosomal RNA (385 nucleotides) under uncultured bacterium. RNAcentral's name for it is "bacterial SSU rRNA". It matches the Rfam family "Archaeal small subunit ribosomal RNA", at positions 339 to 724 of the family's 1478-position model. The record is from RNAcentral.
GCGCGAAAACUUUACAAUGCUGGCAACAGCGAUAAGGGAACCUCGAGUGCCAGGUUACAAAUCUGGCUGUCGAGAUGCCUAAAAAGCAUUUCAUAGCAAGGGCCGGGCAAGACCGGUGCCAGCCGCUGCGGUAACACCGGCGGCUCGAGUGGUAACCGUUAUUAUUGGGUCUAAAGGGUCUGUAGCCGGCCGGAUAAGUCUCUUGAGAAAUCUGGCAGCUUAACUGUCAGGCUUUCAGGAGAUACUGUCUGGCUCGAGGCCGGGAGAGGUGAGAGGUACUUCAGGGGUAGGGGUGAAAUCUUGUAAUCCUUGAAGGACCACCAGUGGCGAAGGCGUCUCACCAGAACGGACCUGACGGCAAGGGACGAAAGCUAGGGGCACGGAC